RNAcentral lists this ribosomal RNA (497 nucleotides) under uncultured bacterium. Its description in RNAcentral is "partial 16S ribosomal RNA". It matches the Rfam family "Bacterial small subunit ribosomal RNA", at positions 28 to 507 of the family's 1533-position model. The record is from RNAcentral.
GAUGAACGCUGGCGGCGUGCCUAAUACAUGCAAGUCGAGCGAACAGAUAAGGAGCUUGCUCCUUUGACGUUAGCGGCGGACGGGUGAGUAACACGUGGGUAACCUACCUAUAAGACUGGAAUAGCUCCGGGAAACCGGGGCUAAUGCCGGAUAACAUUUAGAACCGCAUGGUUCUAAAGUGAAAGAUGGUUUUGCUAUCACUUAUAGAUGGACCCGCGCCGUAUUAGCUAGUUGGUAAGGUAACGGCUUACCAAGGCAACGAUACGUAGCCGACCUGAGAGGGUGAUCGGCCACACUGGAACUGAGACACGGUCCAGACUCCUACGGGAGGCAGCAGUAGGGAAUCUUCCGCAAUGGGCGAAAGCCUGACGGAGCAACGCCGCGUGAGUGAUGAAGGUCUUCGGAUCGUAAAACUCUGUUAUUAGGGAAGAACAAAUGUGUAAGUAACUGUGCACGUCUUGACGGUACCUAAUCAGAAAGCCACGGCUAACUACGUG